AGCAGUAGCCGCGGUAAUACGUAGGGUGCAAGCGUUAAUCGGAAUUACUGGGCGUAAAGCGUGCGCAGGCGGUUCGUUAAGACAGAUGUGAAAUCCCCGGGCUUAACCUGGGAACUGCAUUUGCGACUGGCGGGCUAGAGUAUGGCAGAGGGGGGUAGAAUUCCACGUGUAGCGGUGAAAUGCGUAGAGAUGUGGAGGAAUACCGAUGGCGAAGGCAGCCCCCUGGGCCAAUACUGACGCUCAUGCACGAAAGCGUGGGGAGCAAACAGGAUUAGAUACCCGUGUAGUCCCUGUCUCUUAUAC
Molecule: ribosomal RNA, 303 nt
Filed under: uncultured bacterium
Lineage: Bacteria
Description: partial 16S ribosomal RNA
Rfam family: Bacterial small subunit ribosomal RNA
Source: RNAcentral